UUGUUUCUUUCUCUUUUUCAUUUUAUCUCUUAUAGUGUAUAGGGCAAAGGUAAGUUUCUUUGGUAUUUUUUUAAUGAAUAAAGUUGUCUGGGAUUGUUCUAAAAGUUUCAAAAUAUAUGGAUUAAGUUCAUUUUGUUUUUUUUUCUUAUUAGGUCUACCAUGUUUUUUUUGGCAUUUAAAUAUUGCAUAUUUAUUUUGUGUGAUCUUUGUUUGUUAGCACGAUGAGAAGCAUUUGGGGAUAAUCUGAGUUUUUCUUCUCAAAUCAUAGCAUUUUUUAUCCAAACAUUUCCUGGUUCCAUUUGGUAAGAACUUAUAUUUAUAUAAAUAUAUAUUAGUUUCCCGUCAUACAUACAUACAUCUAUAUAUUGCAUUUGUGUUGUUAUGCAAUUUGGUUAGUAAAUGAUUCUUAAAUGAAUUUAAUAUUUGAGAAAUUGACAAGAUUUCAUAAAGCUGUGCUAUUUCUCACAAUAUCCAGAGUUAGAAUGAUUUAUACAUUUUUUUGUGUGUUUUAUUUUUGUAUUGGGGUUUUUACUUUAUUCUUGCUGGCUGAAAUGUAUAUAGGGAAUUCACUUUGGAUUGACGGUUGGAACAUGUAUUUUGCCUUUUUUUCUUUUUCUUCAAUUUUCCGUUAAAGAUAUCACUAUUUUAAUCUUCCAACCGCAAGUAAUUUUUUUCUUAAACUAUAUAUUGUCUCACUUUUUCAAAUUAUAAUUUUAUUAUUAUUUUUUUCUAUUACCCUUCAGCGUGCUGGAGCAGUAUUUCUGCAGAGAUCUGAGAGAGCUGCACCGGUCUUUACCCCUCCACAAACACAACCAUUGUCUUCAUAUCCACAGAAUCUGCGCAAUUCUGACAUUCAUCAAGAUACAGUUGAGCCGUCUGCAGAGUUUGAGUUUCCUACCUUGAGCUUGUCAGAAAUUCAGAAUGCAUGUGGCAUAAUGGAUGUUCUUACAGAAAUGCUUAGCGCAAUUGAUCCAGAGAAUAAAGAGGGCCUUAGACAAGAGGUUAUUGUUGAUUUGGUGGAACAGUGCUGGACAUAUAAGCAGAGAACGG
Molecule: long non-coding RNA, 1050 nt
Organism: Humulus lupulus (European hop)
Lineage: Eukaryota; Viridiplantae; Streptophyta; Magnoliopsida; Rosales; Cannabaceae
Exons: 3
Source: RefSeq, a predicted model, not a curated record